AGUCGAACGGUAACAGGUCUUCGGAUGCUGACGAGUGGCGAACGGGUGAGUAAUACAUCGGAACGUGCCCGAUCGUGGGGGAUAACGAGGCGAAAGCUUUGCUAAUACCGCAUACGAUCUACGGAUGAAAGCGGGGGAUCUUCGGACCUCGCGCGGACGGAGCGGCCGAUGGCAGAUUAGGUAGUUGGUGGGAUAAAAGCCUACCAAGCCGACGAUCUGUAGCUGGUCUGAGAGGAUGAUCAGCCACACUGGGACUGAGACACGGCCCAGACUCCUACGGGAGGCAGCAGUGGGGAAUUUUGGACAAUGGGCGAAAGCCUGAUCCAGCCAUGCCGCGUGCAGGAUGAAGGCCUUCGGGUUGUAAACUGCCUUUGUACGGAACGAAAAGCCUCUUUCUAAUAAAGAGGGGUCAUGGCGGUACCGUAAGAAUAAGCACCGGCUAACUACGUGCCAGCAGCCGCGGUAAUACGUAAGGUGCAAGCGUUAAUCGGAAUUACUGGGCGUAAAGCGUGCGCACG
This 518-nucleotide ribosomal RNA is filed under the name uncultured bacterium. RNAcentral's name for it is "bacterial SSU rRNA". It matches the Rfam family "Bacterial small subunit ribosomal RNA", at positions 60 to 575 of the family's 1533-position model. The record is from RNAcentral.